AUCCUUUUGUGAUUCAUAAGCAUGAUGAUUGAGCGUUCACACCAUUGUGUGAGAUGGGCCUUCCUCAAAAUUUGUUACGAUGCCAGCACAUUACUCAUCUGCUG
Molecule: small nucleolar RNA, 104 nt
Organism: Sciurus vulgaris (Eurasian red squirrel)
Lineage: Eukaryota; Metazoa; Chordata; Mammalia; Rodentia; Sciuridae
Source: Ensembl